AACAGUGGCAACUUGUUCGGGUAUCCUUCCCCAGUGUGGAAGCUUUAGUUCUUUUGCUCUUUGCAAUGAAUCUUGCUGCUGCUCACUCUUUGGGUCCACGCUGCGUUUACACUGUGUUUAUGAGCUGUAACACUCACCACAAAGGUCUGCAGCUUCACUCCUGAAGCCAGCAAAGACCACGAACCCACCAGGAAGAAGGAACAACUCCAGACACGCAGCCUUAAGAGCUGUAACACUCACUGCCAAGGUCUUCAGCUUCACUCCUGAGCCAGCCAGACCAUGAACCCACCAGAAGGAAAAAACUCGGAACACAUCCCAACAUCAGAAGGAACAAACUCUGGACAUGCCGCCUUUAAGAACUGUAACAACGCAAGGGUCCGCGGCUUUAUUCUUGAAGUCAGUAAGACCAAGAACCCAAUUCCGGACACGUUUGGACCCAGAUGGAAAGGCAGCUCAACAUCUGAGAAGCCAGUCUUACUCCCUGCAGGCAACAGCUGCUUCCAGAAAACAGCCCUAUUACUUCACCAAAGUACAGUUCCUACAGGAAGAUAAUGAUCUGACCUAACCUACUAUUGGCUGAAGGAAGGAGAAAAGCAGCUGAAGAUGUCUGUUGAGUGAUUACCCUCAUAAUCCGUGACUAAGAACAUCCAAAUCAGCAUGGCUUCUUCCUGUCUGAAAUUAUUACUACUUAGGGUUUUUCACGUGUUAUUUCAUUUAUUGAUUAUUCUGUUUUAAACUUGCAAGACGUAUUGUCUCUUCAGAAAUAAAACUUUAUCACUUGCUUCAUCAAUUCAAUUAAUUUCACAAUGCAUUGAUUAAACUCCUACGUAAGCAUUUCAGCAUUUUAAAACAUUUUUAAAAAGGUAAAAUCAGGACUGUCAUGUGAAUGAUAUGCCAAAGGUUUUA
RNAcentral lists this long non-coding RNA (906 nucleotides) under Homo sapiens (human). RNAcentral's name for it is "HSALNT0213777". Lineage: Eukaryota; Metazoa; Chordata; Mammalia; Primates; Hominidae. The record is from RNAcentral.